Molecule: unclassified non-coding RNA, 200 nt
Filed under: soil metagenome
Description: partial contains internal transcribed spacer 2 and large subunit ribosomal RNA
Source: RNAcentral
ACCUCAAGCCCGGCUUGUGUGUUGGGCCUACCGUCCCCUGGACGGUGGCCCGAAAGGCAGUGGCGGCGUCGCGUCCGGUCCUUGAAGCGUAUGGGGCUUUGUCACCCGCUUGGAGGCCGGCCGACCCCGUAGCCCAUCGUGGAUCUUCCACAUUUUUUCUGAUGGACCUCGGAUCAGGUAGGGAUACCCGCUGAACUUAA